Molecule: RNA transcript, 1931 nt
Organism: Daphnia carinata
Lineage: Eukaryota; Metazoa; Arthropoda; Branchiopoda; Diplostraca; Daphniidae
Gene name: chondroitin proteoglycan-2-like
Exons: 12
Source: RefSeq, a predicted model, not a curated record
CUCAUGUAAGCCUUUGAUUGCCCUUUUUCACGCUGUAUAGCAAUGAUCGCGUACAGAAGAAUUAAUGUCAAUCAGCUAAACCUUUAUGUCUGUUUUUGACCUUGAAUGUUUUAUCUCCAUAAGAAAUUGCGGAGUGACGUCUAUAGCCCUAAGUCAGAAGUAAAGUUGCGUACGAUUGGACCUGUCGUUGCAUUCGUUUUCUCAUGGUGGAACAGAGUGGAACGAAUCGAAUGUGCAGCUCGCGCUUUCUAUGUCUUCAUUUUCUUAUCGCGGCCCGACAGCUUAGCGUGGAGACGAGAUAAGCCUUGCCACGCAAUGGCAUUAACGAAGGCGUUGACGCACUAUAUCAGCCAUCUCCUGUGCAAUACCACGUGACUCGUAUAAAUAUCUACACUUACAUACAAUGUCGAAACAGACUCACGUUAUCGAUCAGCAGAUUACAGCUUCCACAAAAUCAACAGCAGUACCCAGUUUUUCAUAUUCGCGUGAAGCAUGAAGAAUCCCCUUGUGUCCAUCCUGGCAGUGUUGUGCUCUUUUCUUUGUGUGGGUUUGUGUUUGGAGAAACAGCGUUCAGCUUGGAUUCCAUUACAAGAACGCGCAAAGGAGUUCGUCUGUCCACUCGGACAAGAGGGAUUUUUCUGUUCCGAAGCCUGCACCCCAUACUACUAUUAUUGUACUGCGGCAGGCGACUUGUAUCCAUUGGAAUGUCCCCCAGGUACCGUGUAUGAUCCCAAUCAAGGGGAACCACUGAGCAGAGCAGCAUGCGUCGAUGAAAAUGUUUGCAUAGAUCCAGCAGCGACAACUACCCCGUCGGCGACAACUACCCCAUCGGCGACAACUACCCCAUCGGCGACAACUACCCCGUCGGCGACAACUACCCCGUCGGCGACAACUACCCCGUCGGCGACAACUACCCCGUCGGCGACAACUACCCCGUCGGCGACAACUACCCCGUCGGCGACAACUACCCCGAUAACAUCCACUACAACAAGGGCACCAAAUACUUGUCAGGAAACAACACCAAGCAACUUUGCUUGUCCUGGAAAUGGGCUAUACCCUUACGAUGAAUGCUCUUCGCUGUAUUGGCAGUGUUCAAACGACUACGCGUACCUUCAGUGUUGUCCAGCAAAUUUGGUUUUCAAUCCGACUUUAAAAGCAUGUGAUUACGAAACCAAUGUCGCAGGCUGUAAUCCUACGAAAUCUGAUUUCGCCAAUCACGAACAGCUGCAAAUUCAAGGUAAAACUGACCGUAGCGACCGUAUCCCAUCCAAUUCUGCUUCUGAAACGCUUGUAGAGACGUUUGAAUGCCAAACGGACGGCUUUUUCUCUUUUGGCGUUGAUAAAUGUUCGUCGACUUACGUCACUUGUGCUGAUGGCAUUGCUUAUUAUACGGAAUGCCCGGCCGAUGGUAUUUUUGACGAAGGUUCGCAAAUUUGCGUACAAGCUGAUCAGCUGCCUUACUGCUAGAUUUUGAACACAUCAGCAAUCGUACAAAACGAGAACUAAUUAAUUCUUACAAUUUGUCAAUUCCUAUACUUAAUUAAAACUUUACUUUACCGCGAACAAACGGCACACUGACUUUUUUUUAAGUCUCAAGAAGACUUGGUAAUCCUGGGAGUUAAACGAACGCAGUCUUGCAGGAAAUGUUUGUUUGAGGGCGAUGAUGUUGGGCGUAAGGAAACGAAACUUUGCAGCGUUUGAGAUUGGUGCAAUGUUGAUUUGAAAAGUUUAGGGGUCAUCAAUUUUUUAAUGCAAACGUCAAAAGAUGGCCGAUACGUUUUCUAUGCGAUAACGAACAAACAAGUGGUGAAGCAACUAUAGGUCACUUGCUACCUGAUAUCGCAUUUUAUUGUUGACCAAGUUUUUGAGGUUUGAAUUUGUCGGCCUUAUUUACUUGGCCGAGCGUUCCAGACUUUUCAAACGCAGAGAAC